GCAGCAAUGCCGCGUGAGUGAAGAAGGCCUUCGGGUUGUAAAGCUCUUUCAUCAAUGAAGAUAAUGACAUUACCUGAAGAAGAAGCCCCGGCUAACUUCGUGCCAGCAGCCGCGGUAAUACGAAGGGGGCUAGCGUUGUUCGGAAUUACUGGGCGUAAAGCGUAUGUAGGCGGAUCAAAAAGUUGGAGGUGAAAUCCCUGGGCUCAACCCAGGAACUGCAUUUAAAACUAUUGAUCUAGAAUUUGGUAGGGGUUAGUAGAAUUUCCAGUGUAGAGGUGAAAUUCGUAGAUAUUGGAAAGAAUACCAGUGGCGAAGGCGACUAACUGGGCCAUUUUUGACGCUGAGAUACGAAAGCGUGGGUAGCAAACAGGAUUAGAUACCCUGGUAGUCCACGCCGUAAACGAUGAGUGC
Molecule: ribosomal RNA, 411 nt
Filed under: uncultured Alphaproteobacteria bacterium
Lineage: Bacteria; Pseudomonadati; Pseudomonadota; Alphaproteobacteria
Description: bacterial SSU rRNA
Rfam family: Bacterial small subunit ribosomal RNA
Source: RNAcentral